This 464-nucleotide ribosomal RNA is filed under the name uncultured bacterium. RNAcentral's name for it is "partial 16S ribosomal RNA". It matches the Rfam family "Bacterial small subunit ribosomal RNA", at positions 339 to 795 of the family's 1533-position model. The record is from RNAcentral.
CUACGGGUGGCAGCAGUGGGGAAUAUUGCACAAUGGGCGCAAGCCUGAUGCAGCCAUGCCGCGUGUAUGAAGAAGGCCUUCGGGUUGUAAAGUACUUUCAGCGGGGAGGAAGGGAGUAAAGUUAAUACCUUUGCUCAUUGACGUUACCCGCAGAAGAAGCACCGGCUAACUCCGUGCCAGCAGCCGCGGUAAUACGGAGGGUGCAAGCGUUAAUCGGAAUUACUGGGCGUAAAGCGCACGCAGGCGGUUUGUUCAGUCAGAUGUGAAAUCCCCGGGCUCAACCUGGGAACUGCAUCUGAUACUGGCACGCUUGAGUCUCGUAGAGGGGGGUAGAAUUCCAGGUGUAGCGGUGAAAUGCGUAGAGAUCUGGAGGAAUACCGGUGGCGAAGGCGGCCCCCUGGACGAAGACUGACGCUCAGGUGCGAAAGCGUGGGGAGCAAACAGGAUUAGAUACCCCAGUAGUC